RNAcentral lists this long non-coding RNA (625 nucleotides) under Mytilus galloprovincialis (Mediterranean mussel). Lineage: Eukaryota; Metazoa; Mollusca; Bivalvia; Mytilida; Mytilidae. The record is from RNAcentral.
AGAGGAUUUUCCGGUUGUGCUUGAGUGGAGUAAUUGUCACCGCUUCAAAAGGUAUGUACAUUUCUAAAUCUCAAUUUUCUUAUUCAACUGAUCAAAAUAUUGAAAAUCAGAGAAUGCUAUGCUGUGGUGAAUACUUUAACGAAGAAAUACAUAUAUCAUUUACUGUUGUACGUAGAGUUGAACUCUUACAAAAACAGUUGCCUCACGAGAAAUUGCCUAAAAAAGUGACAUUUCAAUUUUGAAAUGGUUCUAUUUACAGACCUACAAGUUCAAAUUUAGUUUUUUUUAGGGCAAUGGGUAUGAAUGUUGUUUUUGGCGGCGUGUACGCUGUCCGGGAUUGUCAGACGUCUUAAUUAUUUCAAAAACUACAUUUUUUCAUUAAGUCAUGCGUGAGGGGAUCGGUUCUGAUUGAGGACAUCGUGAAUGCGUGAGGGGAAGUACAAAUCAUAUCUUUAUAUUCAAGCUAUGAGUCGUUGAAACUUACCUAAAUAAGGCUACAUUGUUCAUGAAAAAACACAUAAUGUGUGCUAAAAAAAUCACUGAGAUUGAUAUUGAAAUAAAUUGUUGGAACCUAGGGUUUAAUAAUAUGUUUCACGAAGAAUAAAAACAAAAAAUGUUGUCAACG